This 75-nucleotide transfer RNA is filed under the name Schistocerca americana (American grasshopper). Its description in RNAcentral is "tRNA-Ser". It matches the Rfam family "tRNA". Rfam says of the family: Transfer RNA (tRNA) molecules are approximately 80 nucleotides in length. Their secondary structure includes four short double-helical elements and three loops (D, anti-codon, and T loops). The record is from RNAcentral. Lineage: Eukaryota; Metazoa; Arthropoda; Insecta; Orthoptera; Acrididae.
GAUUGGGUAGCUCAGUUGGUAGAGCACUUGCCCGUGAAAGGCAAAGGUCCCGAGUUCGAGUCUCGGUCCGACACA